AACGAACGCUGUCGCCAGGCUAACACAUGCAAGUCGAGCGAGAUCUUCGGGUCUAGCGGCGGACGGGUGAGUAACGCGUGGGAAUAUGCCUCUUGGUACGGAAUAGCCUCGGGAAACUGGGAGUAAUACCGUAUGUGCCCUUUGGGGGAAAGAUUUAUCGCCAAGAGAUUAGCCCGCGUUGGAUUAGGUAGUUGGUGGGGUAAUGGCCUACCAAGCCGACGAUCUAUAGCUGGUUUGAGAGGAUGAUCAGCCACACUGGGACUGAGACACGGCCCAGACUCUUACGGGAGGCAGCAGUGGGGAAUCUUAGACAAUGGGGGCAACCCUGAUCUAGACAUGUGGCGUGAGUGAUGAAGGGCUUAGGGUUGUAAAGCUCUUUCAGCUGGGAAGAUAAUGACGGUACCGCAGAGGAAGCCCCCGCUAUCUCCGGGCCAGGGGCGCGGUAAUACGCAGGGGGGCUAGCGUUUUUCGGAAAUUACUGGGGCGUAAAGCGCACCAGGCGGACCAGAAAAGUUGGGGGGGAAAUCUCCGGGGCUCAAACCCCGGAAAUGUCUUCAAAAAAUAUUGGGCUGGGGGUUCGGAGAGGGGAGUGGAAAUUCCGAGUGUGGAGGGGGAAAUCGCAGAAAUUUGGGAGGGACACCCGUGGGGAAGGGGGCCCCACUGGGUCGAACUGUACCUUAGGGUGUGAAAAGGUGGGGAGGAAAAGG
This 707-nucleotide ribosomal RNA is filed under the name Paracoccus aminovorans. Its description in RNAcentral is "bacterial SSU rRNA". It matches the Rfam family "Bacterial small subunit ribosomal RNA", at positions 28 to 775 of the family's 1533-position model. The record is from RNAcentral. Lineage: Bacteria; Pseudomonadati; Pseudomonadota; Alphaproteobacteria; Rhodobacterales; Paracoccaceae.